Long non-coding RNA from Aphidius gifuensis, 479 nucleotides. RefSeq lists it as uncharacterized. The record is from RefSeq and is a predicted model, not a curated record. The transcript is spliced from 4 exons. NCBI's taxonomy places the organism in Eukaryota, Metazoa, Arthropoda, Insecta, Hymenoptera, Braconidae.
AAAAAAUAUUGAAGUAAGAAUGUCAAAGGUCAUUAAUAUUUAGGACAAAGAGAUUAAAAUAGCUGUUAAAUAUUUAUUAAACUCAUUGAGCUAUCAAAUCCAGUUCUCAUUGAUUUAGUAAGAAGAAAAGUUAAAUUAAAUCAGCCAUAUGUUGGAAUAUUUUUGAAGAAAAGUGAAGAAAAUUAAUUAGAUGUUGUUGAAAAUAUAGAUGAUGUUUAUCCAAUUGGUACAUUUGGACAGAUCCAUGAAAUUCAUGAUCUUGGUGAUAAAUUAAGACUCGUUGUUAUGGCACAUUGAAGAAUUAAAAUUGUCAAUUAAAUACCAGAAGAAUUAUCACCAAAACCAGCACAACGUGAGAAAAUGAAAUUGACGUUUCCACUACUAAAUACAACAAUUUACGUUCCUGUAGACGAGGCUGGUCAAUCACGUCGAGGUGGACGUUCAAGUCGUAGAAAAGCUGAAUUAAAUGAAAUUAUAGA